RNAcentral lists this ribosomal RNA (253 nucleotides) under uncultured bacterium. RNAcentral describes it as "partial 16S ribosomal RNA". It matches the Rfam family "Bacterial small subunit ribosomal RNA", at positions 524 to 776 of the family's 1533-position model. The record is from RNAcentral.
UACGUAGGGGGCUAGCGUUGUCCGGAUUUACUGGGCGUAAAGGGCGCGUAGGCGGCGCAACAAGUCACUUGUGAAAUCUCCGGGCUUAACCCGGAGCGGCCAAGUGAUACUGUCGUGCUAGAGUGCGGAAGGGGCUACUGGAAUUCUCGGUGUAGCGGUGAAAUGCGUAGAUAUCUGGAGGAACACCGGUGGCGAAGGCGGCAUCCUGGACCAACACUGACGCUGAGGAGCGAAAGCCAGGGGAGCAAACGGG